GACGAACGCUGGCGGCGUGCUUAACACAUGCAAGUCGAACGGGCCCGCCCCUGUUUUUGGGGGUGGGUUGAGUGGCGAACGGGUGAGUAUCACGUGAGUAACCUGCCCCCUGCUCCUGGAUAACUGCUUGAAAGGGCGGCUAAUACGGGGUGUGCCGGCUGGUCCGCAUGGGCCUGGUCGGGAUAGUUUCAUCUUCGGGUGUUUCGGUGGGGGAUGGGCUCGCGGCCUAUCAGCUUGUUGGUGGGGUGAUGGCCCACCAAGGCGGUGACGGGUAGCCGGCCUGAGAGGGUGGGCGGCCACACUGGGACUGAGACACGGCCCAGACUCCUGCGGGAGGCAGCAGUGGGGGGUAUUGCACAAUGGGCGGAAGCCUGAUGCAGCGACGUCGCGUGAGGGAUGGAGGCCUUCGGGUUGUGAACCUCUUUCUCCGGUGGUGAAGGCCCUGUCCGUUGCGGCGGGGUUGACGGUAGCCGGGUAUGAAGUGCCGGCUAACUACGUG
This 499-nucleotide ribosomal RNA is filed under the name uncultured bacterium. Its description in RNAcentral is "partial 16S ribosomal RNA". It matches the Rfam family "Bacterial small subunit ribosomal RNA", at positions 28 to 507 of the family's 1533-position model. The record is from RNAcentral.